RNAcentral lists this ribosomal RNA (468 nucleotides) under uncultured bacterium. RNAcentral's name for it is "partial 16S ribosomal RNA". It matches the Rfam family "Bacterial small subunit ribosomal RNA", at positions 28 to 507 of the family's 1533-position model. The record is from RNAcentral.
GACGAACGCUGGCGGCGUGCCUAACACAUGCAAGUCGAACGGGACGGCCCUGCUUUUGUGCGGUGCUCGAGUGGCGAACGGGUGAGUUACACGUGAGUAACCUGUCCUUGCCUGUGGGAUAACUUAAGGCAACUGGGGCUAAUACCGCAUAGGAGCUCCUGCUGCUUGGUGGGGGUUGGAAAGUUUCGGCGGUUGGGGAUGGACUCGCGGCUUAUCAGCUUGUUGGUUGGGUAGUGGCUUACCAAGGCUUUGACGGGUAGCCGGGCUGAGAGGAUGACCGGCCACACUGGGACGGAGAUGCGGCACGGACUCGUACGGGAGGCAGCGGUGGGGAAGAUUGCACAAUGGGCGGAGGGCAAGUGCAGCAACGCCGCGUGCGGUAAGACGGGCUUCGGGUUGUGAUCCGCUUUUGCCUGUGACGAGGCGUGAGUGACGGUAACGGGUAAAGAAGCACCGGCUAACUACGUG